Molecule: ribosomal RNA, 252 nt
Filed under: uncultured bacterium
Lineage: Bacteria
Description: partial 16S ribosomal RNA
Rfam family: Bacterial small subunit ribosomal RNA
Source: RNAcentral
UACGUAGGGUGCAAGCGUUAAUCGGAAUUACUGGGCGUAAAGCGUGCGCAGGUGGUUUUGUAAGUUUGUCGUGAAAGCCCCGGGCUCAACCUGGGAAUUGCGAUGAAGACUGCAAGGCUUGAAUCUGGCAGAGGGGGUAGAAUUCCACGUGUAGCAGUGAAAUGCGUAGAGAUGUGGAGGAACACCGAUGGCGAAGGCAGCCCCCUGGGUCAAGAUUGACGCUCAUGCACGAAAGCGUGGGGAGCAAACAGG